This 549-nucleotide unclassified non-coding RNA is filed under the name Athalia rosae (coleseed sawfly). RNAcentral's name for it is "misc RNA ENSAEAG00005005753.1". Lineage: Eukaryota; Metazoa; Arthropoda; Insecta; Hymenoptera; Athaliidae. The record is from RNAcentral.
UGCGACCUGUAACAUAAAUAACAGAUAUACAAUUAAUCAACUGAUUACAUAACUUACCUAAUGUAUGACUUAUUUUAUAAUAUCCAUCUCUACCGGAACGGGAUGGAGGGGAGUGGAUCUUUGGAGAGACUCGUUGAUGUCCUGAUUUGCUUGCUGCAUCGCGCAAUGGGCAUCUACCAGAAAGAAAGAAGAAAUAUCACAUGUACAAUUCUAGUCACGAUAUAACAAUCGCUUAUAUUUGUAUUCUUUUUGUAUCCACGAUAAAGAUCAAUAAAUCAUUCCGAAUCUCAUUGAGAAAAGAAAUUGAGUGAAUCAUUGUAAAAUCAUCCCCACGAAUUUUUCUGGAGCUGCAUUGAGUGCAUUUGCUAUACAUCCUUCAGCGAAGCUCGUAAUAACGUAAUCAAACUACAAUGGAAAACAGACGCUUGAGCGAUUUGAAAACUAUUUCAUGGACGGCCCAAAAAAUUAGAAAAAAUUUUGUAUAGAAAGUUGAUUGAGAAUAAUGGCUAUAUCUUAUUUGUAUUACAUAGAUAGAUCAAUUGAUUAUCU